CAAUAGAUUUACUUGAUAAACAAAAACAACAAGUGUGAUGAUAAACUCAACAACACAACACAAAUAUUAACAAAAAAGUGAAGUAAAGGCAAAAAUUUAAUCUAAUUAGAAAUAAGCUAAAAUUAUUUGCAACAGUUUAUUUUAUUUUUUCAAUGGUGUAACAAAAAGUAAAAAAUCUUACAAACAAAAGAAAAAAGUACCUGAUAACGAAUGCUGGAAUCUCAUUUAUCAUCAAUAAAAUCUAAUUCUUAUUAAGAACGUGACAAAGACUUAUAAGUGUUGACUAAUAUAGUACCUAAAUCUUGAAUCAAUUUUACCUCUACAAUGGUGGUAAAUACUUCCGUAAUAGCUGAGCUAUGCAUUUAUAUAUUAACAUGGAAUGUGGGUACCCAUCAACCGGGUGACAUAUCACUAAGUGAUAUGUUGUCUCUAAAUGGUACUACCAAAUGUCCUGAUAACAAAUUACCUGAUAUGUAUAUUAUGGGCUUCCAAGAAGUCAGUAGUAAACCAAAAAAUCAAUUUAUUAAUAUCUUCCAAGAUGAUCAGUGGACUUUAAAAUUGCGUGAAGAAUUAUCCGAACAUGAUUUUGUUAAAGUGGAAACCGAACAAAUGCAGGGUUUAUUGAUAAAUGUUUGGACAAGACCCGAACAUGUCUUCCAUAUGCAGGAUAUAGAAACGGAAAAGACUAAAACGGGUCUAGGAGGUUUGUGGGGCAAUAAGGGUGCUGUUAGUGUACGCAUGAGUCUCUAUGGCACGGGAGUAACAUUUAUUGUGGCCCAUUUAGCUGCCCACGAUGAGGAGCUUAAGGAACGUGUCAUAGAUUACAAUCAAAUUGUGGAUAAUCAUCAUUAUAAGGCCAAGAGAUAUCGCACCAUAUUCGAUCAUGAUGUAGUAUUCUGGUUUGGUGAUUUAAAUUUCCGUUUAAAUGGCCAUGACUCGGCCUGGGAUGUUCGAGGAGAUGUUGAAAAUAACCGCCUGGAUAGUCUCUUUACACGCGACCAACUUUCCAUGGUUAGGGAAGCAGGCAAUGCCUUCGCUUUAAUGGAAGAACAACAACCCACUUUUCCUCCCACCUUUAAGUUUAUCGAAGGAACUUCAGACUACGAUCUCAAGCGUAGACCAGCCUGGUGUGAUCGUAUUCUAUAUAGAGUAGUUAAAGAUAAAUAUCCUGAUAUUGAAUUGGAGCUACAACAACUGUCCUAUAAAUCUCAUCCUCAAUAUACUUUAUCGGAUCAUAAGCCGGUAACCGCAGAAUUUUUAUAUACCAUCAAAGCCACCACCCAUACCACCGAGGAAAUAUAUGCCAUGACUCAUGGAGGCAGUGAGACACCUCUAUCCAGUGUAAUUAUCAUAAUGUUUUCCUUAUACUUAACCGUGUUUUAUUAACAUUAUUUUUCCUUUUUGUUUUCUUAUUUUUUUUUUUUAUUUGUUCGUUUAACACUUUUUGGCUUUCUUCUACUUAACAUUGAUUGGCUUUUCCUAUUCGUUUGUAAGUAGUUUUAUUAGAAAAGAAUAUAUUCAUACACUUGUUUCCAUAAGUUCUAAGCGUUUUAGCAUUUAACCCUUAAGACUCGAAUUAUAUAAAUUUUGCUUACUUUUAAGGGAAAUUUUUUGAACAUUUUUAAACAUUUAGUUUGUUUAUUUAAAAAGGGUUAUGCUAGUAGGCUUAGUAUGUAUUAGUGUUAUGGCCAUUAUCAUUACUUUUUAUUAUUUCAUUUAACUACUUAUUUAACUACUUAUUAUUAACCCUUAAAUGUUGAAAAAUAGUCAUCUAUUAAUAUUUAAAUUUUUUUUUGUAUGGUUGUGGUCAAAGUUAGAUCUAUUUUGAUUUCACAUUAAGAAGUAUAUUAUUUAUCGACCAAUGGAAGACUUUGGCUGGCUAAUACUUUCGUUUCGCAAGUCUCUUGCGGUCCUAUAUGAGUUGGGAGGCGUUACUAAGUCCAAUUUUGUUAUUGUUAGGUUUCGGUACCUAUAGAAUGACAAUACCAAUGAAGAUGCAACUGGCACAGAUAGACUUGCAUCACUGUGAGAAAGCUUCAGUCAUACUAGCAACAUUCCUCAUUAACACCCAGACGAACUCCUCAUCAACUUAUCGACUAUAGAUAGUUCUAUACUUUUGACUUAUACAGUUCUAAAGUCUCGACUAUAGACAGUAGUAUAGUCAAGACAAUGGAUACUUCUGUGGUCUUCACUAUAAACAGUUCAAUAGUCUUGACUAUAGACACUUCUAUAGUCUUGACUAUAGACACUUCUAUAGUCUUGACUAUAGACACUUCUAUAGUCUUGACUACAGACACUUCUAUAGUCGACUAUAGACACUUCUAUAGUCUUGACUAUAGACACUUCUAUAGUCUUGACUAUAGACACUUCUAUAGUCUUGACUAUAUACAGUUCUAUAGUCUUGACUAUAGACAGUUCUAUAGUCUUGACUAUAGACAGUUCUAUAGUCUUGACUGUAGACAGUUCUAUAGUCUUGACUAUAGACAGUUCUAUAGUCUUGACUAUAGACAGUUCUAUAGUCUUGACUAUAGACAGACCUAUAGUCUUGACUAAAGACUUAUAUAUAAUCUUGAGUACAGACAGGUCCAUAGUCUUGAUUAUAGGCAGGUCUAUAGUCUUGAGUAUAGAAAGUUCUAUAGUCUUGACUAUAGACAGUUCAAUAGCCUUGACUAUAGACAGUUCAAUAGCCUUGACUAUAAACAGUUCUAUAGUCUUAACUAUAGACAGUUCUAUAAUCUUGACUAUAGACAGUUCUAUAGACUUGACUAUAAACAGUUCUAUAGUCUUGACUAUAAACAGUUCUAUAGUCUUGACUAUAGACAGUUCUAUAGUCUUGACUAUAGACUGUUCUAUAGUCUUGACUAUAGACAGUUCUAUAGUCUUGACUAUAGACAGUUCUAUAGUCUUGACUAUAGACAGUUCUAUAGUCUUGACUAUAGACAGUUCUAUAGUCUUGACUAUAGACAGUUCUAUAGUCUUGACUAUAGACAGUUCUAUAGUCUUGACUACAGACACUUCUAUAGUCGACUAUAGACACUUCUAUAGUCUUGACUAUAGACACUUCUAUAGUCUUGACUAUAGACACUUCUAUAGUCUUGACUAUAGACACUUUUAUAGUCUUGACUACAGACACUUCUAUAGUCGACUAUAGACACUUCUAUAGUCUUGACUAUAGACACUUCUAUAGUCUUGACUAUAGACACUUCUAUAGUCGACUAUAGACACUUCUAUAGUCUUGACUAUAUACAGUUCUAUAGUCUUGACUAUAGGCAGUUCUAUAAUCUUGACUAUAGACAGUUCUAUAGACUUGACUAUAAACAGUUCUAUAGUCUUGACUAUAGACAGUUCUAUAGUCUUGACUAUAGACAGUUCUAUAGUCUUGACUGUAGACAGUUCUAUAGUCUUGACUAUAGACAGUUCUAUAGUCUUGACUAUAGACAGACCUAUAGUCUUGACUAAAGACUUAUAUAUAAUCUUGAGAACAGACAGGUCCAUAGUCUUGAUUAUAGGCAGGUCUAUAGUCUUGAGUAUAGAAAGUUCUAUAGUCUUGACUAUAGACAGUUCAAUAGCCUUGACUAUAGACAGUUCAAUAGCCUUGACUAUAAACAGUUCUAUA
This is an RNA transcript of Lucilia sericata (common green bottle fly), 3616 nucleotides long. It is a transcript of the gene named phosphatidylinositol 4,5-bisphosphate 5-phosphatase A, with no coding region annotated. The record is from RefSeq and is a predicted model, not a curated record. The transcript has 3 exons. Lineage: Eukaryota; Metazoa; Arthropoda; Insecta; Diptera; Calliphoridae.